AAGUCGUAACAAGGUUUCCGUAGGUGAACCUGCGGAAGGAUCAUUAUUGAAUAAAUCUGGCGUGGUUGUAGCUGACUCUCAGGAGUAUGUGCACACCCGUCACCUUUAUCUUUCCACCUGUGCACACACUGUAGUCCUGGAUACCUCUCGCCGAAAGGCGGAUGCAGGGGCUGCUGUGCCCGCAAGGGCCAGCUUCCUCUGAAUUUCCAGGUCUAUGAUUUUUACACACCCCAAACGAAUGUCUCAGAAUGUUUUCACAAGGCCUCGUGCCUAUAAACCUAUACAACUUUCAGCAACGGAUCUCUUGGCUCUC
Molecule: unclassified non-coding RNA, 313 nt
Filed under: Coprinopsis insignis
Lineage: Eukaryota; Fungi; Basidiomycota; Agaricomycetes; Agaricales; Psathyrellaceae
Description: partial internal transcribed spacer region
Rfam family: Eukaryotic small subunit ribosomal RNA (bases 1-46)
Source: RNAcentral